GAUGAACGCUGGCGGCGUGCUUAACACAUGCCAGUCGAACGGAAAGGCUCCUGCUUGCAGGGGUACUCGAGUGGCGAACGGGUGCGUAACACGUGGGUGAUCUGCCCUGCACUUCGGGAUAAGCCUGGGAAACUGGGUCUAAUACCGGAUAGGACCACAUUUUGGAUGGUGUGGUGGAAAUUUUUUCGGGGUGGGAUGGGCUCGCGGCCUAUCAGCUUGUUGGUGGGGUAAUGGCCUACCAAGGCGUCGACGGGUAGCCGGCCUGAGAGGGGGUACGGCCACAUUGGGACUGAGAUACGGCCCAGACUCCUACGGGAGGCAGCAGUGGGGAAUAUUGCACAAUGGGCGCAAGCCUGAUGCAGCGACGCCGCGUGGGGGAUGACGGCCUUCGGGUUGUAAACUCCUUUCGCUAGGGACGAAGCGCAAGUGACGGUACCUGGAGAAGAAGCACCGGCUAACUACGUG
RNAcentral lists this ribosomal RNA (465 nucleotides) under uncultured bacterium. RNAcentral's name for it is "partial 16S ribosomal RNA". It matches the Rfam family "Bacterial small subunit ribosomal RNA", at positions 28 to 507 of the family's 1533-position model. The record is from RNAcentral.